GAACACUUGCAGACUGGACAGCAGUAUAGAUCUAUAAUUAUCUACCUCUCACAUGCUAUCAAUGAGAAAGUAACAAAAUAUUAUACAUGCUUCACAUCAGCGUGUUAGCUAGCAAUUUGACAUGUUGACCUGGUUAACAUUCAAAUGAUAGUAUUGAGCUCAAAGAAAUGCAGGUACUGUUGCAAAUCUAAUUCAUGGAAUGUCCGACUGCAAACCAAAAGGGGAAUAUUUGCAAAUCAGACCCAAACCCUGAAAUACAUGCAGGUCCGUUCUGAUCAACAUCCAUUCAGCAGUUUCAUAGGGAUGGUGCAAUAGAUGUGGCGCCCCCCGCCAGGGUGGAGAACUGCACGGUGGAGUGAGGUGGGAGGGGAGGCGACAUGGAGGGAGGCUGUGUGGAAGCCGGAACUCAUAGCUGCUGCAGAAGUGCCUCAUUUGGGCUGCUGUGGCAGUGUGACCGCCUCCCAACGGCAACGUCAUCUGGUUAUAGUCUGGGAUCUCUGUCCCCAA
Eleginops maclovinus (Patagonian blennie) is the source of this 507-nucleotide long non-coding RNA. RefSeq lists it as uncharacterized. The record is from RefSeq and is a predicted model, not a curated record. NCBI's taxonomy places the organism in Eukaryota, Metazoa, Chordata, Actinopteri, Perciformes, Eleginopidae. The transcript has 3 exons.